Molecule: long non-coding RNA, 2567 nt
Organism: Silurus meridionalis
Lineage: Eukaryota; Metazoa; Chordata; Actinopteri; Siluriformes; Siluridae
Exons: 3
Source: RefSeq, a predicted model, not a curated record
CUCCCGAAUAAUUGAGAAAACCCGAUCCACUUGCAGAUGUAGUCUACAUGUUAGCUCUCUGUUCGGCACAAAGAUUUAAUGAAAAAAAAAAAGAAAGAAAGAAUAAUCAUCACCACCACUAAGAAUAACAACAACGACAACAGCAGCAGCAACAACAAAUAAUCUCCAAUACGCCUUUUCCAGAAGCCAAAACUUUUUUUAACGGGAGUUAACGGCGCUUGUGAACACUGCAUCACUGCACCACUGCAUCACUGCAUCUGACAGAUAUGGCUGCCCGGUUUGGCUCACUUGCCCAUGACAGCUCUGGCCAAGGUGACGAUGUUCUGGGCCUGCUUUAACGACGGCAUGUCAAUCAUGCUGCCACGGAAGGUGAACGCACCCUAGAGAGAACAAAGCGCAACACCGGAGGAGCCAGCCUGUUGGAUCAACAACCUAAAGAGGAGGCUCAAGGCCCGUGCCUGCGACGCCCAUCCCAGAAAAGGCUGGCAGGGGGUAGUUCCCUCACAUCAACAAAAUAUGCCCCCUUCCCUCUAGUGCCACCUGUUCAGGAGCUGUCUGCUCUGAGCCAGCUAAUCACAGAGCCAGCAAAGGGGGCGUGCCAGGCAUCCUUACCACAAUACUAUUGGCUGGCCGCAUUGCAUCAUUUAUGCCCCCUGAAGCCAGCGAGCCAAUCAUACAGUGCCAUCUGGAGAAGUUUGUCUCAUUGGCGUGUUGUGGUUUAGCACAGAGCCCUCUGUUAGGCAAGGUUCAAAGUACAACAUUUUGGCUGCUUAAUUAUUUUUUUUUCUUUCAGGAGGAUUUGUGAUUAUUUUUUUUUUUUUGCUUAUUAGAUAUAUUUUUUUGCCAGCCUUUCAAUAAAUUAGAUCUGUACCAAAAUGCAAAUAGAUGCAUGCUAACUGUAAUGUUUCACAGACCAUCUCUGUAGGAAGAGAUGAUCAUCAAAACUAGAAUAUACAUUAAUUUUAAUAAAGCUUGCAUUUAGGUGACAACUAUUCUCACUUACAAAUGAAAUAUGGAACUUUCAUAUACACGUCAUAUAGCCAGUCACACAGACUAUAGAAACUACCAUAUCAAGUUAAGAGGAUUUAGAUAAUACAGAUUAAACCAAAUCAAUAAUAGUUCAUACAUUUGUUAAUAUUUUUAAUAAUAAUUACAUUCUUUGUGAAAUAAUUAAAUACUUUAUAUCCAAUUCUAAUAGACUUUUUGUGGUUAUACACGCAUAGACUCAUGGACACUCGUGGAUAAAAAAUCUCCACACCAAGUGGUGAAAGGGUCUCUGUGGAACUCAGUGGUUUGUUGUGUGUGUGUGUGUGUGUGUGUGUGUGUGUGUGUGUGUGUGUGAAAAACACUUCUGGGCAUUAAUCAUAUUCCAACCAACCUGCCGAUAUAGAGACACUCUGAUGAAUUUCAAGAUGUUCCUAUUGCUAUGCUGCAUGAUUAAUUUACCCCUAGUAAUUAGUUAGAUUACUCUCAAACCAAAAUCUGUGUCUGAUUUUAAAUGCAUUUAUGAUUGUGUAUCAAAUUAUGCAAUAUAAAAAUAAAUACCUUUAUUUCAACCAUUAAUGCUUCAAGUUGUUUUGAGGUUUUAAAAGUUCUGAGCAAUAAUAUUUUCUUUUUUCGUAUAAUCAUAUACAUACAUCAGUAAUGAAUAACAGUUGUGUGCUACAUUUACUGGAUAUUUUUUUUUAUUGUGGCAAAGCAAAAUCUGGAAUUGGUGAAAACGGGGGGAAAAAAAAAGAAAAAAAAGAAAAGAAGCGGGAUAAAUAAGAAGCAGGAGAAUGCUGCAAACCAAAAGGCCUAGUGCUCUGGAGGAAUGGCAGUGUUGUUGUAAACAGAGAUGUGCAGGAGGAACAGUGUGUGUUCUGCAAACAGCCAUUACAUAUUCAUUAGCGCAGGCUCUGAGGAGGGCUGCCUGGCCUCCUGUGGCCAGUUACCCACUCACCGGGACUACACACACUCGCGUUGCCUGGCUACAAACCCACACAGUGCUAAGCUGCGAACAUACGGCCAAACUCGAGCUACAUGCAGACAAAUGCGCACACACUCACUUACAUGCAAUAAAGGAUAUGCACAAAUGAGCAGAACACAAGCAUGCACCCACACACAUACAAAAUGCUAUCUAUCUAAAUGAAAAAAAAAAUUAUGCUUUUAUCUCUUCUGGCUUGCAAAUAACAAGCAGUCAGCUGAAUUAUCAAAAAAAUGUCAUUACUAAGUAAAAUUUUUUGUUGAAACAUGAAAAAAGCACAAACAAGCUAAAAUAAUCGACACAAUAAACUGUCAAAUGUUCAAGAAAAAAAAGAAAGAAAGAAAGAACUGAUGUUCAUCUUCAAAGAGGCAUUCUGAAGAAUUCAUAAAGACACUAAUGAGCUGAAGGAGAGAGAAAGAGAUGGACAGAAUGAGACUGAAUAAGAAGAAAUGUUUGAAAGCGUGGGUCAAAGAUGUGAAGCCAUAAAGGAACAAGCAGAUCCAUGAAAAUAGGUGCAGUGUGAGGGAGAGCACCUGUUCAGCCGGCUUGUGCUGCAGUACACUCACUACAUACCCUAUAUUUAAUCUCUUCUACAUGCAUU